Molecule: long non-coding RNA, 247 nt
Filed under: Brassica rapa (field mustard)
Lineage: Eukaryota; Viridiplantae; Streptophyta; Magnoliopsida; Brassicales; Brassicaceae
Description: long non-coding RNA (BRAP_LNC008432)
Source: RNAcentral
AUCAAUCCCCUUUGGAACUAUAAGAUCGGACCUUACAUGCCCAACCAAGGCCAUGGAGAAAUUACACUGAUCUGGCCAAGGCCUGGGGGCGUGCCCAUGGAUCAAUCGGCCAGACCACCCGAAUUAAUGGUCUUGGGCGAUACCACUUGGUUAACAUCCUGUACCUUAGGUGUGUGCUCGGAAGUCCCCAAACUCUUCUCCACAGUCUUCUCCUUCUGUCUAGUAUCCAUUUCCGAUCAAGUCUCCC